GAUGAAGAACGCAGCGAAAUGCGAUAAGUAGUGUGAAUUGCAGAAUUCAGUGAAUCAUCGAAUCUUUGAACGCACAUUGCGCCCCUUGGUAUUCCAUGGGGCAUGCCUGUUCGAGCGUCAUUUGUACCUUCAAGCUCUGCUUGGUGUUGGGUGUUUGUCUCGCCUCUGCGUGUAGACUCGCCUCAAAACAAUUGGCAGCCGGCGUAUUGAUUUCAGAGCGCAGUACAUCUCGCGCUUUGCACUCAUAACGACGACGUCCAAAAGUACAUUUUUACACUCUUGACCUCGGAUCAGGUAGGGAUACCCGCUGAACUUAAGCAUAUCAAUAAGCGGAGGA
RNAcentral lists this unclassified non-coding RNA (337 nucleotides) under soil metagenome. RNAcentral's name for it is "partial contains 5.8S ribosomal RNA, internal transcribed spacer 2, and large subunit ribosomal RNA". The stretch from base 1 to 120 matches the Rfam family "5.8S ribosomal RNA", at positions 35 to 154 of the family's 154-position model. The record is from RNAcentral.